UCCUUUGUGGCGCAAUUGGUUAGCGCGUCGUACGUUCCUCCUUCCCACUGCCCUCGUUCGAAUUCCCUCAAUUUGAACCACAUCUAACAAGUUAUGCUGCAGUGACUGUUACCAACAGAUUAUCAGGAGGCUGUAAGAUCGAGACUUACCAAAGGAG
This 157-nucleotide transfer RNA is filed under the name Stachybotrys chartarum IBT 40293. RNAcentral's name for it is "tRNA-Und (NNN) (tRNA-Und-NNN-5-1)". The record is from RNAcentral. Lineage: Eukaryota; Fungi; Ascomycota; Sordariomycetes; Hypocreales; Stachybotryaceae.